UACGCAGGGUGCAAGCGUUGUCCGGAAUUAUUGGGCGUAAAGAGCUCGUAGGCGGUCUGUUGCGUCGGCUGUGAAAACCCGGGGCUCAACCCCGGGCCUGCAGCCGAUACGGGCAGACUAGAGUUCGGCAGGGGAGACUGGAAUUCCUGGUGUAGCGGUGAAAUGCGCAGAUAUCAGGAGGAACACCGGUGGCGAAGGCGGGUCUCUGGGCCGAUACUGACGCUGAGGAGCGAAAGCGUGGGGAGCGAACAGG
RNAcentral lists this ribosomal RNA (253 nucleotides) under uncultured bacterium. Its description in RNAcentral is "partial 16S ribosomal RNA". It matches the Rfam family "Bacterial small subunit ribosomal RNA", at positions 524 to 776 of the family's 1533-position model. The record is from RNAcentral.